This 421-nucleotide ribosomal RNA is filed under the name uncultured bacterium. RNAcentral's name for it is "bacterial SSU rRNA". It matches the Rfam family "Bacterial small subunit ribosomal RNA", at positions 917 to 1341 of the family's 1533-position model. The record is from RNAcentral.
GGGCCCGCACAAGCGGUGGAGCAUGUGGUUUAAUUCGAUGAUACGCGAGGAACCUUACCAGGGCUUAAAUGUAAGUUGCAUGGAUCAGAGAUGAUCCUUUCUUCGGACCACUUACAAGGUGCUGCAUGGUUGUCGUCAGCUCGUGCCGUGAGGUGUCAGGUUAAGUCCUAUAACGAGCGCAACCCCUAUCGUUAGUUGCCAGCAAGUAAAGUUGGGUACUCUAGCGAGACUGCCGGUGCAAACCGAGAGGAAGGUGGGGAUGACGUCAAAUCAUCACGGCCCUUACGUCCUGGGCUACACACGUGCUACAAUGGCCGGUACAGAGAGCAGCCACCACGCGAGUGGGAGCGAAUCUUCAAAACCGGUCUCAGUUCGGAUCGCAGUCUGCAACUCGACUGCGUGAAGCUGGAAUCGCUAGUAA